CAUGAAAUUUGGUGCCAUGACUCGGUUCGGGGAACCUCCCUUGGUAGAUCAAUCCCCUGUCCUCCUGCUCUUUGCUCCGUGAAAAAGAUCCACCUACAACCUCGGGUCCUCAGACCCACCAGCCCAAGGAACGUCUCACCAAUUUUAAAUUGGGUAAGCGGCCUUUUCUUACUCUCUUCUCCAACCUCUCUCACUAUCCCUCAACCACUUUCUCCUUUCAAUCUUGGUGCCACCCUUCAAUCUCUCCCUUCUCUUAAUUUCAAUUCCUUUCAUUUUCUGGUAGAGACAAAGGAGACACGUUUUAUCCAUGGACCCAAAACUCCAGUGCCGGUUCAUGGACUCAGGAAGGCAGCCUUCCCUUGGUGUUUAAUCAUUGCAGGGACACCUCUCUGAUUAUUCACCGACGUUUCAGAGGUGUCUGACCACACGGGGCAUCUGCCUUGGUCCUUCACCCUUAGCGGCAAGUACCACUUUUCUGGGAGGCAAGAACCCCCCAACUCCUUCUCUCCAUGUCUCUACCCUUUCUCCACUUUUCUGGGGCCAAGAACCCCCCAACCCCUUCUCCUUCACCCUUAGCGGCAAGUACUGCUUUUCUAGGGGGCAAGAACCCCCGAUCCCUUAUUGCCAUGCCCCAACCUCUUAUCUCUGUGCCCUGAUCCCUUAUUUCCAUGCUCCAACCUCUUAUCUCUGUGCUCCGAUCCCUUAUUUCCAUGCCCCGACCUCUUAUCUCUGUGUCCCAGCCCCUUAUUUCCACGCCUCAACCUCUUAUCUCUGUGCCCCAACCCCUUAUUUCCAUGCCCCGACCCCUUUCCCGCUUUUCUGGAGGGUAAGAACCCCCGAACCCCUUCCCUCCAUGUCUCUACUCUCUCUUUUCUCUGGGUUUGCCUCCUUCACUAUGGGCAACCUUCCACCCUCCAUUCCUCCUUCUUCUCCCUUAGCCUGUGUUCUCAAGAACUUAAAACCUCUUCAACUCACAUCUGACCUAAAACCUAAACGCCUUAUCUUCUUCUGCAACACCGCUUGGCCCCAGUGCAAACUUGACAAUGGCUCUAAAUAGUCAGAAAACGGCACUUUCGAUUUUUCCAUCCUACAAGAUCUAGAUAAUUCUUGUAAAAUGGGCAAACGGUCUGAGGUGCCUGACGUCCAGGCAUUCUUUUACAUAUCAGUCCCUCCCUAGUCUCUGUUUCCAAUGCAACUCAUCCCAAAUCUUCCUUCUUUCCCUCCUGCCUGUCCCCUCAGUCCCAGCCCCAAGUGUUGCUGAGUCUUUCUAAUCUUCCUUUUCUACAGACCCAUCUGACCUCUCCCCUCCUCGCCAGGUGGAGCUAGGUCCCAAUUCUUCCUCAGCCUCGGCUCCUCCACCCUAUAAUCCUUUUAUCACCUCCCCUCCUCACACCCGGUCUGGCUUACAGUUUCAUUCCGCUUCUAGCCCUCUCCCACCUGCCCAGCAAUCUCCUCUUAAAAAGGUGUCUGGAGCUAAAGGCAUAGUCAAGGUUAAUGCUCCUUUUUCUUUAUCCAACUUCUCCCAAAUCAGUUAGUGUUUACACUGUUUUUCAUCAAAUAUAAAAAACCCAGCCCAGUUCAUGGCUCGUUCGGCAGCAACCCUGAGACGCUUUACAGCCCUAGACCCUAAAAGAUCAAAAGGCCGUCUUAUUCUCAAUAUACAUUUUAUUACCCAAUCUGCUCCCAACAUUAAAUAAAACUCCAAAAAUUAAAUUCCAGCCCUCAAACCCCACAACAGGACUUAAUUAACCUGGCCUUCAAGAUGUACAAUUCCUUGCCUCCACUGUGAGACAAACCCCAGCCACAUCUCCAGCACACAAGAACUUCCAAAUGCCUAAACCACAGUGGCCAGGCAUUCCUCCAGGCCCACCUCCCCCAGGAGCUUGCUACAAGUGCCAGAAAUCUGGCCACCAGGCCAAGGAAUGCCUGCAGCCCAGGAAUGCCUGCAGCCCAGGAUUCCUCCUAAGCCGUGUCCCAUCUGUAUGCGACCCCACUGGAAAUCAGACUGUCCAACUCACCCCCUAGAGCCCCUGGAACUCUGGCCCAAGGCUCUCUGACUCCCUCCCAGAUCUUCUUGGCUUAGCGGCUGAAGACUGAUGCUGCCUGAUAGCCUCGGAAGCCCCCUAGACCUUCACGGAUGCCAAGCUUCAGAAAAGCUAUUUUCCAAGAAGAAAAAGAAAAUGGAAGUACAAAUUUCCAACAGCACACAUUUUCUCUGCUCUCUCCUUGGCUCUGAAAGAGGAUGCGUGAAACAGAAUUUCAGGCUGUAAUUAAUGCAGCUCUUCAUAAGAUAAGAGGUUCUUUUAUCUACAGAAAAAUUGCUGCACUAAUUCCCAACAAGAAGUGCAAUGCUCCGGUUAAUGCUCUUUCUACAAGAAGAAUUCACCUUUUCUACCCUCUACAUAUUUACAGACAAAUUUGAAUAUUUUGUUAUGGGAAACUGAAGAUGGGUAAACAUACAAUGAUAAUAGUACUUUAUAGGGCUAAAUCUAAAAGCCUUAAAGAUUAAUAUUAUGUUUGGAUAAAUGCUGAAUAAGUUUACAUAAAGAAUUUUCAAAUAACAUUGACGCUACAGGCAUGUACUUGUAAGCACAGACCUUAAUUGGGCACAACUUAGAUCCAGCACUCUUUGAGGGGGAGAAUAAACAAAUUGGGAAAUGCAUCCUCAUUUGAUACAGUGAGGAAAAAGAGCUAUGGUUCCUUGCUCUGCUUUAAAGUACUGUCCAAAGAAGGAUGAAGCCCCGCUAUUUCAUUUUGAUUUAAAUAUUUCCUUGUAGAAUGCACAUUCCAAUUUGGAAACAAUACUUUCUAUAUGUAUGUUUCAUGUAUGUGCUUGGAAUAAUUGGUAAUGUGUUGGCACUGUGUUCCACUUAAAUGCAUGGCAUUUGUAUACUAUUUAAUGUUUUGUUGUUGUUGUUGUUUUUGAGAUGGAGUCUCAGUCUGUUGCCCAGGCUGGAGUGCAAUGGUGUGAUCUAGGCUCACUGCAACCUCUGCCUCCCGGGUUCAAGCAAUUCUCCUGCCUCAGCCUCCUGAGUAACUGGGAUUACAGGCGCCUGCCACCACGCCUGGCUAAUUUUUUUUUUUUUUUUUUUUUUUUUUUUUUUUUUUUUUUUUAGUAGAGAUGGGGUUUCUCCAUGUUGGCCAGACUGGUCUUGAACUCCUGAACUCAGGUGAUCCACACACCUUGGCCUCCCAAAGUGCUGGGAUUACAGGCGUGAGCCACUGCACCGGCCUUUUAAUGUUUUCUUAAAAACCAGUUUUCUAAGAAAAAAAGAAGAAUGGGAAUACAGCAAAUGAGUAGAAGACAGAGAUCACAAGAAUCGUGCCUGAGGUCCUGGCAAAGAAGACCCCACUAUCUCAGCUCAAGAAGUCAGAACCCAUAGGUGAAAUUGUAGGGAUAACACCAGCUCAGUGUAAAGAAUUUCCAACAUAAACAGCUACUGCAUAACAGAAUGAACUGCCAUGGAAGAAUACAACAUCCAGUCAAGGCAUGUAGUCAAGGAAGAGCAGAUAACCAUCUGCAAGAGGAUUUCAACACUGGACCAGACAGUCCUAUAGUAAGUUGAAGUCUAAGACCCUAUAAUUAUGUGAUAUUGGAGAUUUAAUGUUUACAAUAUUAUUGUCAUUCCAUCUGGUUCCUGGUACUAAGUCUUUGUUUUUUGUUUUGUUUGUUUGUUUUUCUUUUGGAAACAGGGUCUCGCUCUGUCACCCAGGCUGAAGUGCAGUGGCAUGAUCUUGGCUCACUGCAGCCUCAACCUCCCAGGCUCAAGCAAUCCUCCCACAUCAGCCCCCCAAGUAGCUGGGACUACAUCCAUAUGCCACCAUGCCUGUUUAAUUUUUGUAUUUUUUGUAGAGAUGUGGUUUCACCAUGUUGCCCAGGCUGGUCGCGAACUUCUGAGCUCAGGCAAUCCACUCACCUUGGCCUCCCAAAGUGCUGGGAUUAUAGGCAUGAGCCACUGUGCCUGGCCUGUGGUACUAAGUCUUCCCUGACAUUUUGUCAGUAAAGGUCAAAGUCACUGGAAAUGGUCACUGCACCUAACCUAAGUGUCAGUUUCCUGAUCUAUAGAGUAGAGGAUUUGAUGAAUUUAUCUCUAGAAUUCUGUCUACUUCUAGUCAGAUUCUUCACUGACAUGAAGUCACCACUGUGUAUCUACCUUACUAACCUUUUUUGGUUAACAUGUGGGAAAUUUAAUAAAUUCCUGACAUUUUUCAACAACAUUUAUAACCUUUGGGGAUCAGUUCAUUUUCACCAAUUCAAUUUUAGUCAUCUUGAUUGCUUUUGUCAGAGGGGAAAAAUAAUGUCACAUAAUUAAAAUAAUAAAUAACCUCCC
RNAcentral lists this long non-coding RNA (4331 nucleotides) under Homo sapiens (human). RNAcentral describes it as "HSALNT0077666". The record is from RNAcentral. Lineage: Eukaryota; Metazoa; Chordata; Mammalia; Primates; Hominidae.